CAGUCGCCGCGGUAAUACGGAGGGUGCGAGCGUUAAUCGGAAUUACUGGGCGUAAAGCGUACGCAGGCGGUUUGUUAAGUCAGAUGUGAAAUCCCCGAGCUUAACUCGGGAACUGCAUUUGAAACUGGCAGGCUAGAGUCUCGUAGAGGGGGGUAGAAUUCCAGGUUUAGCGGUGAAAUGCGUAGAGAUCUGGAGGAAUACCGGUGGCGAAGGCGGCCCCCUGGACGAAGACUGACGCUCAUGCACGAAAGCGUGGGGAGCAAACAGGAUUAGAUACCCCGGUAGUCCCUGUCUCUUAUAC
This 301-nucleotide ribosomal RNA is filed under the name uncultured bacterium. RNAcentral's name for it is "partial 16S ribosomal RNA". It matches the Rfam family "Bacterial small subunit ribosomal RNA", at positions 509 to 807 of the family's 1533-position model. The record is from RNAcentral.